GAAAUCUCUCUGCUCCCUUACCUCUUAAAGAGACAGAGGUAGGAGAGAUUAAGAAAAAAACUUUUAACAAUGUAAAUCUUAUUUUUUGCCAUAAUCAGUUAAAUUACUGAUCAGGAGAAAUAAGAAAAAUUAGAAUGGAUUCUGUAGAAUAAAACAAAGACAGGUAAAAUCCUAAUUGGCAGGGAAAUUGAUGAUUAGGGGAAAAUACUUACAAAAGGGUUUCAUUCAUCAACACCAUUUAAUCUAUUAGAGGGUGGUCUGACUAGCACGUAACUAUUAUGGGGAGCUACUGAUAAGACAGCCCAAAAGGAGAAAAUUUCUGGCUUCUCCGAGAAUCAGCUUAGAGAAACCAAAGAGGACAGACACACACAGGGAGAGAGAGAAACAAAGACAGAGAGUAGAGAGUGCAGGAGACCCAAUGAAUGAGUUAUGUGGGCUCAAGGGGAUAACCAGGCCUUCAAGCAACAGGUUUUCAUUUUACUGAGCAUAUAGGAACAAUAUAUAUGUGAUUUAACAAAAGAAGCAUUACAUCAUUGAAACUCAAUCAGGACUUAUAAGCAUUACAUUACAGAGAGCCAAUGGAGUGAGGAGAUGGGAACCAAGUAGGUACAAAUUCGGUCAUACACAGAAUACAAAGGGUUUUUGAUUUUUGCAUACAUGUGUCUAUGAAGAUACAGCUUCAAAGUCUCUGGCCUAAAAUAGUGCUAGGCCUUGCAAAUAUUGCUUGUCUGAGGAGUCUGGCCAGACAGCUGGGGCCCACUUGAGGAAUGAUAUAACUAUUAUCUUGAAGUUAACCUUGAAUCCUAACAAAGGACUGCAGUUGUCUUGAAACUUGGCCUUGCCAAAGGAUGUCAGAGGAGAAGUUCAGGCAUGUCUUUUUUCCCUGCUUUUCCUCAGUUGACCCAAAGUGUCUUUAUGACUCUGUCAUAUCCCUCUUUUGUGUUUUAGAAAAUAGCUGCAUCUUAUGGACCCAAGUAGACACUAAUCGUGAGAAAAAUGAAUCUUAUAAAGACAGGAAGCAAAAUUAUACAUACAAGUAGUAAAACAAGAACAGAAAUAUUACACACUAAAUUUUGAUACAAAAGGAUUAAGAAGUAAUCAGUAUAGAAUUUGCAAUUACAUUUGGAAUUACUUCUUGGGCAUGCUGAAGUAUCUCAUGAGUGUUGUCAAAAGGGAGAGGGGCAACAUAUAUGGAAUCACACCUGAGGGGUAUCAGAAAGUAAAAAAAAAAAGGAAUUUGGAUGGGGUAAGGGUCUAUUCCUUCCAGGGGGAGGAUGUCUCUAUUGCUUGGUAUGUAGAGAUAGGUUUCAAUUUGCUCUGAAAGGCCUAAGUGAGCUAAGCUAUACAGAAGAGUUACAGGGAUAAUUGAUCAGAAAGUAUCACUACUACUGUUAACUCCAAAAUUUAUCAUAAUUGUGAAUAAUGCGUUGGUACUUAAUAAUUUUACUCCACACAAAUCACCUUAUAAUCUGUACAAAGUUGCAUUAAUCAUAAUGUUCAGGGGUUACUUAAUUCUAUAGUUGAAGCAUGAAAUCAGUUUCAAAAUCUAUCACCACAUUAGGCAGGAAUUUUUUGGUUUCAUCAUUCUAAAGUCAUCAUUCUAAAGGGACUUAGGUGAAUUUAGGUUAUGUGAGACCUUAGCGCCUUACAAAGGGCCACAGUUCUCUCAAAACAGAGCAGAAAUUCAGACCUAUCUUUUUUGCUGCUUUUCCUCAGUUGGCCCAAAGUGUCUUUAUGUCUCUGUCACAUUCCUCUUUUUUUCACCAAGGCAAGAGAGCACGCAAAAAAGUGAAAAGUAAUGCAAGAAGGUCCUAUAAUGUGUAGGCAUGCCUAAAACUGACUUACCAGUAUAUGUGAUAACUAAUGUGAUCGAAACACCAAUUAGACUUAUACCUCUCAAUGCAUACAAUCUAAUUUAACUACUCAAUAGGUGUAAAUGAUACAAUGAGAAUUGCUCUCUAAGGAUAGAUCACCAGUGUGAGUCUUAAAAGCCCUGAAGAGUCUUUCAUAAAACUGCUGAUGACAAGGUAUCCUUGAUUUCCCAGCCAAAAACUGUGUCUUGUCUCCCUCAGGUGCAGUCAUUAAACAAGUCUACCAUAAUUAAUACUACCCUCAAGUUAACAAGGGCUACAUGAGUCUCAAGUUCAGGAAACAUAGAAACCUGUCCCAGUCAUGACAUAGGGUCAGACUAAUGGCUAGGACCUCCGAUGGCUUUCUUAUAAUUCUAGCUAUGAGAGUUAAAGUGAUUAACACAGUUCCUGGCACAUAGGAGCUUAAUAAAAGUUUCCUUCUUCCCUCUUUCCUUCCUUCCCUCUAAAUUUCUACUUCAGAAUUGACAUGGAAUGUGAUCCUUUAAUUUUUCUGCCUGAGAUAUUCCUUCAUUUACUAAACAUUUGUUAAGCAACUAUUAUAUGUCAAGCACUCUGCUAGAUGCUAGAGAUACAAAGAGAGAAAUGAAACAGUCCUUAUCCAUAAGGAGCUUACAUUUUAUUGUGAAGAAACAAUAAACAAUGUAUACCAAGUAGAUAGAAUUUUUUAAUUGGGAAUUAACCUUAUUAUCAGUGGGAAGACCCAAUGUCUCAACACUCAUUCUAUGAAAUGAACUAUCCUUUGGUUGUUCUAAUAUUGCUCUAAUUGUUCUGCUCUAAUAUUGUUAAUUAGUCAGAAUCUAAGUUUAAUAAUCUUACUUGAAAAUUCAUAGUAUGUCAGGAUGAAAAAUAUCAAAAUAAUUUUCAUUUUCCUGUCAGAAGAUGCUUUUUUCACUUCAGAGGUCCUUGGUGACUGAUUUCAAUGCAGAUUCAUGGAGAUUCAUCUCAUGUUUAUAGAAACAGUGACUGAUAUAUUCUGGCUGACUAGAGAGAGCUGCUACUAGGGCCCAUCCAAGGAAGAAGGAGGAAAAAAUCCUAGAACAGAUAUUUGCUUUUGUUCUUUGCUGAGAAUUUUUGACUGUGGGAAGUUCCAUCUUGCAACUCCCCCAUUUAUCUUUUUGUGCGUGUCCAAUUUAAGAAUACAUAGAGACGAGACUGUGACAAGACAACAAUAAACAGAAACAUACAACUUUGUGACAAGCAUGCUUUGAAAGGAGAAAAUCAGUGUUUUAGGAUCCUUUCUUAAAAAGAAACGUAUGCAGGGAGAAAAUUCAUUAAAACAGUUUCAGUGUACUGCCCCUUUAACUGAAGAAGCUAAGCUGUUGCGAUUAGCCAUCUGAUUGGCUGAGCUGACUUUCUUGUUCCCUAACUUUCCCUGCACCAUACAUGCAGAUAUAUCUAAAAUGCUCUUGUAGUAUCUGGAAAAAACUACUAUCUGCUCCCAGUUAGGGUUGGAGGCGAGCUGUUCAUGAGGCUGACUGGGUUUCUCAAGGAAGGAACUUUUACAUCCCCUCCUAUUCAGAUAUUUCUCUUGCUUGGAAGCUUGCUGCUGGAGCAGGCACAGCCUCUCCUUCAUAGCCUUCCUGGUUGGAAUAUAGGUGGAGGUAGUUGGGGAACAGACAACAUAAAAGAAAUUAUCCUUUGUUAAAUUGCAUCUUACACUCUUUUUGCCUCUUCAUUUGUUUAAUCUAGCCACACAAAAACAACAAAGACUCAACAGAAACCCAUAGGACACACUCUUUCACACAUUCAUACAACUUUGAACCUGAAGGUUACCCCAGAAGUCACUGAAAGAAGUCUCUUUAGUGACCUGGCUGAGGGACUAAAGCUGCAUCCAGUAACCCAACAGCCUCUACUGAAUCUGGAUUUAUAGAACAGAACAGGACCAUAUAAAAUAGUAGUGAUGACAAUGGAAUCCUUGCUUUGCUCCUUAUUUUACCUGAAAGAUUACUAGUGUUACAAAUAAUUCCAGUUCCUCAUUUUUGAUACUCUACCAUUUGGAUGAAAGACCCACUUAUUCCAAUUCUUUGAAGUACUUUGAAUAUAAAUGUAUUUAUUUUUUCAAAAGUUUUUUUAUAUGGUUUUUGAUGUAAUCUCAUUUGUUUUUAUGGACUUUUGAUAUUGAAUCAUCCCUCCUCUUCUGACUUAAAUUUUACUUGAUUAUCACAAAUAAUCAUCUGACUAUUUUAUGUCUAUAAUUUAAUGAGUUUAUAAGAGUAUAUUUCUCUCCUCAGAGAAGAAUAAAAACGUUCAGUAAUUCAGACAGUACAAAGUUAUCGAUUUUUACUCUGGGAAUCUUGAGUUUCCUUUGAGAUAAGUCAGAAGACCCAUAUGAAGUAUAAAUUCAUACUAGAAGUAAUAAAAUUUAAAGAAAGGCAGGAGCCUUGUCCUCUCACAGAAAGAAGAGGCUAAAAUCCUCAAAGAUAUUGAAAGAGAAAGAAGAAAGGAAAGAAGGAAACCAAUAUUUGUUAAGUAAUGAUGAUGUGUACUGUUCUACGUUCUUUAUAAUUAUUAUCUCAUUUGAUCCUCACAACAAUCCAGGGAGGCAGAUGCUAUUAUAACCCUCAUUUUUAAUUGAAGAGACUGAACUAGACAGAGACUUAUGACUAGCCCAGAGCCAAACAGCUUGUAAGUAUCUGUGAUAUAUUUGAAUUUGGGUCCUUGUGACUUUAAGCCAGCUUUCUAUCCACUAAGCUUCAGGGUAGCUUAUAAGUAAAUAGUACAUAGAAAUGCAAUGGACCUCAAAACAUAGAUAGUUAGAGCCAGAGAGACCUUAGAGACCAUGUAGUCGAACCUUCUGAUUAUCAGAUGAAGAACUGUGAUAAAAGAGAAGUGUAAUGAUUACCAUGGUUACCAAGGUCAUUAGUUUAUAGAGUGAAGAGGCAGAUUCAUUCUUAUGAUUCAAUAUCUAGUUUUCUUUAUACCAUUCAACUUUGAUGCAUACAAAAAUAAUUGUUUAAGGAUUAAAAACAACAACCAGGUAAUAUGACAUUUCAAAUCUGAGUCCCAGCUUCCUCCUUUGAAUGUCAAGAUAAUAAUACAAUAUCUUCCCUCAGAGAAAUAUUGGGAAAAUAAACAGGAGAAUGUUUGUGAAACCUUUUUUGUGCUUCAUGAACCUGAAAUUUCCACAUGAAUGUGAGCUGCUGUUACAUGGAUGCUUUGAAGAAUCUAUGAUUUCAAAGUAUAGGCACAUUUUUUCUGAGGUGUAGAUCUCAGCCUGUCCACAUUGUCUAAUCUAGUUUGAACUUUGUACAAGUCUUUAAGCUUUCAGAGAGGCCUUCCUCCUCCUUUGUUUUUCCUGUCACAGGGAUACCGAUGCAGUAAUUUGAUUAUUUAUUCAGUAUCUCUUGUUCUCUCUAUAUGGUCAGCAUAUCUACCUUAUUGUUCAGAUAUGUUGGUAUUUUGUGCCACUUUUUAUACAAAAAAAUUCAUUGUUCAUAAUAUGACACAACUCCUUUGCAUUUUUCAAUUCUUUCCUAUGUCACUUGAGCUGCACUUUGAAAGAAAAGCCUAGGUUGUAGACUUAUGAAAUUAUAGUCACAGAAUUAUAGAUUUGGAAGAUGUCUUUGAGGUCUCAUCUAAACAGUAUUUUCAUUUGAAAGAGAUAUUAAAACUCUGUGCAGUGAAUGACAACUAAAGUUAACAUAAAAAAAUGACCAAAUUGUAAUGGAUGUUUAGGUUCCAGAUCGGUGUUAAUGAUAUGAGGGUACAGGUUCCCUCCUAGAUAACCCAAACUCCAGAACUGUUCCAGAUCAAAAUGGACAAAGGAAAUUCCUUUUUGCUGCCUGAGAGGAACAUCCCCCUUGGAUUUUCCCCUAGAUCCUAAAUUAACAUAGCUAUGUACUUCCCAGUUCCAUCCUGAUAAACAUUGGUGGUACCUAAUCCAAACAUCCCUUGAAUUCCACAGAUCAUCCCUUAUACCCCCAACCCAAUGAAUUACUUCCUUCCUGAUUUACCUCAUUCCCCUCUUAUCCUGUAACCCCUGUUUUCAAAGGGGCAUAAAAACCAAGUACCCCAUGUCCUCAGGGAAGCAGUGUUCUACCUGCACAUGGUCUCCAGACCAUUCAACAUUAUCUCCAAAUUAAUAAAUUUCUCUUUUUAUUUUUAAGCUAAUUUUGGAGUCUAGCAUUUUUGCAAAAGGUAACCUGUCCUCAACUUUGGGUUUUACCUCAAAGCUCUCCCACAACAGUGAGAACCAUCUUCUCCUUUCUCCUCUUCAUUUUUUUCCUUUUACAUGUCCUUUCUUUUCUUUUCCCCUUCUCUCUUUGUUUCUUAUUCUUCCUUUAUUUCUUUUUUAUCUCUAUCUUUCAUCUUACUAUGACUUUAUCUCUUCUCCUUCCCUGGUUGUUGGUAUGAUGUGGAAAGGAUCCUGGACAUGAACUCAGAAAGUCUGCAUCCAGUUUCUUGGAUCACAUAAUUUCUACAGGUGUGAUUCUUGGCACGUCAUCUUACUUCUGAUCCUUAAUAUCCCAUUUUAUACAAUGGUUAUGGUAAUACUUCCCUUGCCACCUCAUAGGGCUGUUGGGAUGAGAAUGCUUUGGAAUCUUAGGGUUUUACAUAAUGUAAACUAAAAUUAUUAUCAUGGUACUUCAAUGUAUUCUUGAUCUCAUGUUUAUCAGUCACCCUCCACUUUCAUGGAUUAAAAUGCAUCCAUACCUUCUUCUGGGACAUUAUUUGCCAUGUAGUUUGAAAAGUAUCCAGAAGUGAUUUACCCAAAAUUCAAGAGAACUUUGGUUUGGUUAGUAUGUUGAAGAUAAGUAACAAUGUAGAACUUUAGCUGAGUUGUUGCCUUUUUAUAGGACUGGAAUAGUGAUGAAAUGAGAAAUUUUAUAGAAAGUUCUAUAAGAAUUCAAUAAAAUAUAUUGAAAAGAGCAUUGGAUUUAUAUUUAGAUAUUGCCCUCCAGGCCUGGAAUGUUCAACU
Monodelphis domestica (gray short-tailed opossum) is the source of this 6789-nucleotide long non-coding RNA. RefSeq lists it as uncharacterized. Lineage: Eukaryota; Metazoa; Chordata; Mammalia; Didelphimorphia; Didelphidae. The record is from RefSeq and is a predicted model, not a curated record.